CACGCUCCGCUCAGGGCGGCGGCCGCCGGCGGAGGCCCGAGCCGGGGGACGCCGCCACCGCCGGGCCCCUCGGCGCCCCCCGCCAGCCGCGGACCCACCCCCGGUACCUUUAAUCAUGCACACUGUCGUCUCAGAAUUCUGUGGAACUGGAGCUGAUCCUGUGCUUAUGACUAGUGGUUCUUCCAUUAAGCUGGCUCUGUCAUCAUCUGGUCUCCAGCCCAUCAUUUUUGGGAAAAACCUGUCCUCAACUCUUCCCCUUUUGACAUGCACAUUUGUGUCCUUGAUCUUUCUUUCAUCUUGUUCUGAAGAACACCCUCUGUUGGAAGAUUCACCACUCUCCUAUGUUUUCCAGUUCAGCUGUCUCGCCAAUUUUUUUUUUUCCUGGAGACUUUAUUUUUAGCACCCCUGAUUUUACUGAUCUGUCUUACAGUAUUGCCCCACAGAUGGCUGCAUUUGCACAAAAAGCAUUGCAGAAGAUUGAUGUGGCAGCAGGAACAAGUGGCAUAGGGAAGGAAGAGAACUGUCCAGAUCAGUUUUGCCUCUGGAAAAAAUGUUGUAUGGAAAUGCAUUCUGACUUGCAACUGGAGAAGAGAGGAUAAAAGCCUUCGAUGAAUUAAAAUAUCUGCAAUACACAUGGAUAGCAAAACAGAAAUCAGGCAUGUAAAAAGAGAAAAUAUUUAUAAAUACCACUAUACAAUUGAUAAAUGUUAUGUAUAAUUGCAGCUAAGAGAGAAAAUGCAGAGAACAGGAAUAAGUGUUGAAUACCAUCAGAUUUCUGUUUGCCCAUUGUGAAAGAUUAUUUGCCAUGCACUGAUUGUCAUAAAUGGUACUGAGUGCAGUAGAUUAAAAAAAAAAAGACAAUAAUACCUGUGUACCAUGAUGACAAGGCUAGGAUAAUGCAUUAGUGCCAAAUAGAGCUAUCUAAUAUAGAUGCAAUCUCACUGAUCCAAGUUACAAAGUGGCAAGAUACCAGUAAAUAAUGUGCAAGCUGAGAACUUUCCAAAUUUUUUGGCAUGUCAUAAAACAUUAAAGAUGAAGGCUUCCAUAGCCAUUUCAAACAUCUCAGAUAUCUUAGAAUUAUAUCAUCUGAUCUAAUCAGUUUCUGUGGUAGUCAAUAAAGAAAAAGUAGAAAACUGGUAAUAUAUAGAACUGCAGUCCCUAGAACAUGCCUGCUGCAAGAAAGAAAAUCUGUUUAAAUAAAUAAAAUUUAUUAAGUUAUUUCCAGCCACUAUGACAGUGAAUAAAAAUAGGUUGAGAAAUCUGAGUGCCUGAACCCAAAAAGUGUUCCUAAACCCAUAUAAGAUGUCACUCAACUUACAAGGCUCCAGAAGUCUGCAAAAGACUUCUAUAUAAGUUUAAAUUUUCUCAAAUACCUAAAAUUCUACUCCUAGAUGUAGUAUUAAAGCUCUGGAGGUAAGGAGUUGCAGGAUGCAAAAGUGAUAACUGUGUAUUUUCUUGGAGUUAGCCAUUUAUAAAGGCCAGUUGUCUGUUACUGUCAGUAUCCUCAAGGAACUUCAAUUUGUUAGAAAAAUAAAUGAAAUUCAAGUAAGAGUUAUACUGCAAGAAGCAGCAGACUAAUUUCUGUUGCACAACAUUGUUUCCAUUCUCGUCUCCUGAGCUUUCCUCCUCUUUUAGUCAGAACAGCCUGAAAUUUCUGUUUUUCUGGGUUCAGAAUUUAUGUGCUUAUUCUCUGCCCAAAGGUGAAAUUGUUACUGGAAGCCUUGAGCAAGAAUGUUUUUGCUAGUUUAAGUGUGAGAACAGUGGGAUGGGGGGGAAAUGUUGCAUAAAGGUAAAAGUGCUUUAGGGUUUUUUAAAUAACUUUUUCGUCAUGAAGAGAUGUGAAGAGAUGAAAGUAGUGGUGGAAAUAACCCUGCUCAGGGAAGACCUAUACUUUUUCUAAAAUUGGUCUCAAAUGGGUCCUUCAAGCAGCAUAUAUAUCUUUGUCAGAGCCAGGGAGCAUUUUCACUUGACCUUCCCAGAUAGGAAGGGCAAGUAUCUGCUCAGAUUUAGCUGUCCUUUGUGUCACAAACAGCUCCUCCAUAUUUUCAUGGUGACACACUGACUGUACCCCAAAGUCCUGCCCCGUUACUGCCUAAUUAUUCAUGGGGUGGCUCAUCUGCAGUGUAUCUACAGGUUCUCUCACAAAUAAACUGGGACUGGGGAGGCUGGUGAGAGAGGGGCUCGAUGCCCACGGGGGCUCUACUUCAGUGCACACUGUGGCCACGCUCUGCUGUUGGUGGUAUGGGAUCUCCAAAUGUGUUGCAGCAGGAUUUUGUGGCCUUCUCUCUCUCUGCAUGUCCUCAUGUCACAGUUAAGUACCACAGGCUUUUAAAAAUGUAAACCAUCUUUGUGACAAUGAGGGGCCUCGGUCAACUGUCUGUGGGAUGUGCAGAAGCAGAGUGCUUCUCCUCAAGAGCACCUUCUAGUGUCUGCUGACCUACCUCAAGUCCAUGGCCAGGAGGUCAGUGGACCUGAAGACAGCAUGUGUUUGCAGCCAGGGCACCAGCUGCUAGCCUGGACAGCAGAAGGAAGGGAUUCUGGGCAGGCAUGACAAGACACAACCAACCCAUUGUCACAUGCUGUCACAUGUGGUCAUGCCAGAUGUUACAUGUCCGGCAUAAGCACACAUUGGACAAAGACAGUGAGCAAGGUGUCCUUCUCAGCUGGAUAGGGAGUGCUCACAGAAGCAGAGCUCUGUCCAGGAGCAUUGCUGUGUGCAGUUAGAUUGGUGGAUGAAAAGAACAGAGGAGGUGAAGAGUGGUUACCUUUAGCCUCUGCUUAUGGAACACAUUUUCUCAUACAAUAGCUGUGAGAGCCAACAGUGAGCAGCAAUAGGACACGGGACCUCUGUGCAGAGAGCUUUUCAGUGUGUCAUCCCUGCUGGCCCCACCAGGGCAGGUGAGCCAUAGAGUCACUUGCUUUAGGUGGGGAGCUGCAAACACAGCUCUGCCAGAUUGUCUGGCAGUUCCCACUUAUGGUAACACAUUCUGCAGCCCCAGCCACUGCCAAGGGCAGAGGACAUGAGAGGAGGACUCUGAUGCAUCCUGGUUCUCCUCAGCAUUGGCAGGUGAAUCCUACAAGUACAACAGCUACAGCUACACUGCUCUCCUCUAUGCACUCGGAUGGUCAUUUCGUCAUGAGCAUCGUCACCAUGCCUUCCUGCCAACAUCACUGGCAAGUUUGCUGUUUGCUGUGACUGCUCUCAGCAUGACCCUCAUAAAGCAGCAAUUCUGGCCUUUACCUCUUGCCCAGAAGUCUCCUCUGUUGUCUCUGUUUCCUCAGGCUAGCCAGAACCAGGCCUUCCAGAAGUGUGAAACUCUUGCUUUCUUGCAUGAAGCUGACUCCAGACACAAGUUAAUAACAACAAUUUCCUGUGGUCAGGAGCACCCAAUUCCAAUGCUCUCUCCAACAGUUUUCAAGACUUCAAGCCUCUUUUGCAUCACACAGAGAGGACAGUGACUGCAGUGCUGUGAGUUUACCCAGGAAUGGUACAUAAUUAAAUCUUUGACAGAGAGAUCUAAAUAUUGUUUUUGGUUCAUGGGGCAGCAUACCAGGACAUGCCUAGAUUGACCAUGAUGCAAUGUGACUGGGAGAGAACUGCUGGUCUCAAAUGUCCUUUCCUCAUGCACGAGAAGUACCUGAAGCAUCCAAAGAAGGGUCACACCAUGUGCCCAAGAGUGUUGUCCGAACACUUCUUGAACGUGUCAGGCUGAUGCUGUGACCACUUCCCUGGGGAGCCUGCUCCAGUGCCUAACCACCCUCUGGGUGAAGAAACUUUUUAUAUUAUCCAACCUAAACCUCCCCUGACACAGCUUCAGGCCAUUCCCUUGAGUCUUGUCGCCGGGACAACAGAGAAAAGAUCAGUGUCUGCCCCUCCUCUUCCCCUCACAAGGAAGUUGAAUCUGCAAUGAGGUCUCCCCUCAGUGUCCUCUUCUCCAGCCUGAACAGAACAAGUGACCUCAGCUGCUCCUUACAUGGCUUCCCCUCAAGGUCUUCCAUGGGGGUCUUUAUGUGCAUUUGCAUUGAUGUCAAAGUGAGGGAAAUGCUGAGAUGUGUUUUCUUCUCCCUGCUGUCCAACAAGGUCCCCAGGAGCUGGUACUCCAUCUGGCUUCACCUCUGCUGUGCUGCAAGUGGAGUGCUACAGCUUUUGGAUGGUGUGCCAGCUGUGCCUCUCCUCAAAAAGUAAACAGAAUUUAUUUAAAAUAUAUAUAACAUAUGUUUAAGGCCAUACUUGUUAAUUUCUGGAACCAGAACUAGCCUUUUUAUUUUUAUUCUAGAAUUUGCUUACUGCCCCAAAGUAAUCAAGUCAGGAAUCAGAGGAUUUGGCUUCUCUGAGGACUGCAUCUGCCUCGAGUUCUACAGAAGGUGCUUGUGUGUUGGUGUUGCUUCCUUUUUUCCCUUUUUUUUUCCCCUUGGCUUGUCUUCACAGGUUUUUUUUCCUUUGAUUCCUUUCUAUUUUUGCAUUAGAUCAACUAAACACAUGACACCUUAUACUACACUCUCUGUGCCCCCUGCUCUCAAUUGUGGCCAAGAUAUACAGACAGAGAUUUCCUCUCACCCAAGGGUAAUGAGUCACAAAGUCUGGAUGAUUAGAAGGAAGGGUUAGGGUUUCACCUGCCUUUUGGGAGAUCACUUUCUCCUUCAGAUACCAUUCCUAAUCCUACACUUACUGCAGAUGCACUCUACUACAAAACCUGCAGAAGUGAGUCCUCCCUGGAGACUGCAGUGCUAUUCAUCACUUUAUGGAAGGUGUUUCUGCCCCACAUUUAUCCCUAAAGGGUUAGAAUUGACAUUUGGCACUGAAACUUGUUUAAUUUUUUUGUUGUUUUUGUUUUUGUUUGGUUUCAAGUUUUGAUGAAGUUUAACCACUGAGAUAGUCCAGUUUUCUGCUUGAAGCAACAGAAGGGCAGCCAUGAUGCUCAGUGGGCAGUCUCUCUGAUGUUGCUGGGAGGUUUAUCUAUAAUGCAGGGGGUGUCGAUACAUUUGGGCCAGUUCUGCUUGGGUUCAGCUGUCUGUGCAAGCAUGGAGCUUGGUGAAGAACAACAGCUCACCAUCACUUCCAUGUGAAGUGCUCUGUGUUGUUGCAGCAUUAGUGCUGACACUGAACUAGUCAAGAUCUUGUGAUCCUACUCUUUCCACUGCUGCUUGAUUUUUUUUUCCCCCUUCACUUCCCUAGGGAAUACUGAGGUUAUGAGAUUUUGUGCAAAAUUGUUCCCUCCAACAGUAACAGGCAACACAGAUCUCUUUGCUUAUGUGGAAUUCUUUCUGCAAUGCCCAGGCUGUGUUUUAGGCUUUAGGUCAUCCCAGUUCACCACUUACUUAUCUGUCAGGUCUGGGCCAUGAAAUAUAGGGGCAGAAGUUAUUGGUGACUGGAAUUCAUUAUUAGACCCAGGUACUUAGCUGAUAUAUCCAAAAGGUUGGAUAAGUUUAUGAUCAAUAAGAAAUCCAUAUAAGUACAGAGCUGAAGAAGGCAACAGGCAAAUGAUGCACUCUACUAAGCUCUGACCAGGGAAGACCGUGCACCUCCACACAUGCAUUCAGUCUUCAUAGGAGAGUGGUUCCUCUGAAGCCUCUGGUAUUGCCUGCCACUUGACACAGGGCUCAGUGGGGUAAUCACUUCAGUCAUGAUGAGAGAUACUCCAGUGACAUCAGUGGAAAUCCUUUUCAGGGUGCUGAAUUACAGCUUGACAGCAGCAAUCUCAUGACACUCCUUCUGAUUCCACACCUGCAUUGUGACAGCUGUAUUGCUUGGUUACAUGAAAACGGUAUCACUGCCUAAGGGGAAGACAAAAUGACAAUAAAUUUAUUUUGAUGAGAUCUUU
Molecule: long non-coding RNA, 5822 nt
Organism: Haemorhous mexicanus (house finch)
Lineage: Eukaryota; Metazoa; Chordata; Aves; Passeriformes; Fringillidae
Exons: 3
Source: RefSeq, a predicted model, not a curated record